UACGGAGGGGGCUAGCGUUGUUCGGAAUUACUGGGCGUAAAGCGCACGUAGGCGGACUGGAAAGUCAGAGGUGAAAUCCCAGGGCUCAACCUUGGAACUGCCUUUGAAACUCCCGGUCUUGAGGUCGAGAGAGGUGAGUGGAAUUCCGAGUGUAGAGGUGAAAUUCGUAGAUAUUCGGAGGAACACCAGUGGCGAAGGCGGCUCACUGGUCCGGUACUGACGCUGAGGUGCGAAAGCGUGGGGAGCAAACAGG
Molecule: ribosomal RNA, 253 nt
Filed under: uncultured bacterium
Lineage: Bacteria
Description: partial 16S ribosomal RNA
Rfam family: Bacterial small subunit ribosomal RNA
Source: RNAcentral